CUUGGUCCCGCCACUCGGGUCCUCUGGCUUCUUCCCAAACACCUCCUCUUUCUCUCGGUGAUUGGCCAAGAGGCAGUUCCCAUAGUAACUGACACCGCGCUCCCACUUCCCAGCCUGGAGGACAGCACCGGCCCUCGUAUUAGCAACCUGGAAGAGAGGGCGCCCAGGUGGGCACUCGCAACUUCUCACGUAUCUGCGCGUUCUCUUCGCUCCCACUGGCGUGAGCCUGCGCUUUCCGCCUUCCUUCCCUCACAAGCCCCCUUGGCAACCGUCGCCGUUGAGACGGAGGGAGACGCCCCCACGGAUUCGCCCCGCCGCGCCUCUCCGCGCGUAGAUUGGCCGGAGCGAGGCGAACGGGCCCGGCCUUGGUAGCCGCCGACCGAGCGCUGGCUGUCCUGGAACCUAGGCGGCGGGAGCCCGGGGCGCCUCGCGGCACGGAAGAGCGGCGAGAUGCUCAACCGCAAGACCAGCCACUUUUUGGGAAUGAGGGUGCAGUCGGAGCUUGAACAUCUCUCCGAGCUGCGGCGGGAAGCGGGGAAGGAUCGCAGCUCAGUGCAUGGGUCGGCCGCGCGGACGCGUGCGAGUGUGCGGACUCAGUGGACGACGGCGGCGGCGGCGAAAGCGGAUGAAGACCCCGGAGCCAACUUGUUUCCGGUGAGGGCGGGACAGUCUGGUCUGCUCGUGAAUAUUUAUAAACCGGCUCCCCCGCAGGCGCCACCUGUCAUUAUGCUUACUAACGUUCGGGACGUCUCCCGGGCUGCUUGGGCGAGGAGAGGCAGGGGUGUGUGACCCCGGUGGUUACUGUGCUCGCGUAGAGCACCUAGGGCCUGCUGAAGCCCUCCCUCGCCCGCGCCUCUCCUUAGUCCUUGAGAUGAGAUGGCAAGUUACAGCGGCUUCUCCGGCCUGCUGGAGAUUCGCUACGGGCCAGGACACCGCAGCUGCCUUCCCCAAUUCGCUUUCUUUCCGCAGCCGCCGCUGCCCCGACCCCGGAUCUGCAUGUGGAAGUACCUGGACGUCCAUUCCAUGCACCAGCUGGAGAAGACCACCAAUGCUGAGAUGAGGGAGUAGGGACUGAGGGGGGCGUGGGAAGAGCUCUUGGCAAAGGCUGAGGGGUCAGGUUGGGAAAACAUGAGGAAUGGCUGACUCCAAAGCAUGUGGUGGGUGUAGGGUGAUGAAAGGAGGCCCAGUUGUCACUCACUCCUCUCUCCCUCCCAAGGGUGCUGGCUGAGCUGCUGGAGCUAGGGUGUCCUGAGCAGAGCCUGAGGGACGCCAUCACCCUGGACCUCUUCUGCCACGCGCUCAUUUUCUGCCGCCAGCAGGGCUUCUCACUGGAGCAGACGUCAGCGGCUUGUGCCCUGCUCCAGGAUCUUCACAAGGCUUGUAUUGCUCAUGGUCAUAAACAGCUGUUGAGUGAAGUGAAUGAAUGGAUACCAGAGAGGGCCUCACUGCUGCAUCUUGCUUUCCCUACCAGCAACCCCCUUGGGCAACGUGGAGGAGUGCUACCGCUACUUCACCAGUGUCCUUUUUUGCCAUGGAGUCAGGCGGCCUCCUUUCAGCAUCGACCUCUUCAAAGAGGAACAGCUGCUGGCCUUGGAAGACUACGUGGUCAACACUUACUUCCGCCACUUCAAGCUCUAUAAAUACGUCUUCACACCCCAGGUGCGGCUGGAUCUGUCUUUGACUUACAUGGGGCUACAGCCACCCAAACUGUGGCCAGAGAGUGAGACGGGUAAGGGAGAGUGCCAGGGCAGGGCUGGGCUGGGCCAGGCCUGGGGCCACAGUCUCUUCCUGCUUCUGGUUUGCAGAGAAAGAAGAAAGCAAGGAGAUGGAGGAGCAGGCAGUUACCCCGCAGAAAGAGGAACUAGAGACAGUGGCCCCACCAGAGCCAGAGCCAAGCCACAUCCACGUCCUCCGAGCCUACAUCAAGACCCAAGUGAACAAAGAGCUGGAGCAGCUCCAGGGGCUGGUGGAGGAGCGGCUCAAGGCCAGCGAGGAAAGGCUCAGCAGCAAGUUGACUGCACUAGAGCGGCCCUUCCAGCUACCUCCGGGUAAAGGCAAGAGCAAGACCAAGUGACCCCCAACAUUUUCCCCAAUAAAGGUCUGGGCCAGAAUGG
RNAcentral lists this long non-coding RNA (2114 nucleotides) under Homo sapiens (human). Its description in RNAcentral is "non-protein coding lnc-ZNF629-2:1". The record is from RNAcentral. Lineage: Eukaryota; Metazoa; Chordata; Mammalia; Primates; Hominidae.